Molecule: small nuclear RNA, 131 nt
Organism: Hippopotamus amphibius kiboko
Lineage: Eukaryota; Metazoa; Chordata; Mammalia; Artiodactyla; Hippopotamidae
Source: RefSeq, a predicted model, not a curated record
GGGCUUAAUUAAAGUGAAGAAUUAGGUUAACACUCCUCUUGACAGGAAUGGGAAAAAAUUCUAGUGACCAACACCACACACAUACAUUUAAGGCGUCACCACCCUUUUAUAGCCACCUAACAAUAUUUUUU